RNAcentral lists this ribosomal RNA (468 nucleotides) under uncultured bacterium. RNAcentral describes it as "partial 16S ribosomal RNA". It matches the Rfam family "Bacterial small subunit ribosomal RNA", at positions 28 to 507 of the family's 1533-position model. The record is from RNAcentral.
GACGAACGCUGGCGGCGUGCUUAACACAUGCAAGUCGAACGGAAAGGCCCUGCUUUUGUGGGGUGCUCGAGUGGCGAACGGGUGAGUAACACGUGAGUAACCUGCCCUUGACUUUGGGAUAACUUCAGGAAACUGGGGCUAAUACCGGAUAGGAGCUCCUGCUGCAUGGUGGGGGUUGGAAAGUUUCGGCGGUUGGGGAUGGACUCGCGGCUUAUCAGCUUGUUGGUGGGGUAGUGGCUUACCAAGGCUUUGACGGGUAGCCGGCCUGAGAGGGUGACCGGCCACAUUGGGACUGAGAUACGGCCCAGACCCCUACGGGAGGCAGCAGUGGGGAAUAUUGCACAAUGGGCGGAAGCCUGAUGCAGUAACGCCGCGUGCGGGAUGACGGCCUUCGGGUUGUAAACCGCUUUCGCCUGUGACGAAGCGUGAGUGACGGUAAUGGGUAAAGAAGCACCGGCUAACUACGUG